CUACGUGCCAGCAGCCGCGGUAAUACGGAAGGUCCGGGCGUUAUCCGGAUUUAUUGGGUUUAAAGGGAGCGUAGGCUGGAGAUUAAGUGUGUUGUGAAAUGUAGACGCUCAACGUCUGAAUUGCAGCGCAUACUGGUUUCCUUGAGUACGCACAACGUUGGCGGAAUUCGUCGUGUAGCGGUGAAAUGCUUAGAUAUGACGAAGAACUCCGAUUGCGAAGGCAGCUGACGGGAGCGCAACUGACGCUUAAGCUCGAAGGUGCGGGUAUCAAACAGGAUUAGAUACCCUGGUAGUCCGCACAGUAAACGAUGGAUGCCCGCUGUUGGUACCUGGUAUCAGCGGCUAAGCGAAAGCAUUAAGCAUCCCACCUGGGGAGUACGCCGGCAACGGUGAAACUCAAAGGAAUUGACGGGGGCCCGCACAAGCGGAGGAACAUGUGGUUUAAUUCGAUGAUACGCGAGGAACCUUACCCGGGCUUGAAUUGCAGAGGAAUUAUUUAGAGAUA
RNAcentral lists this ribosomal RNA (505 nucleotides) under uncultured bacterium. Its description in RNAcentral is "bacterial SSU rRNA". It matches the Rfam family "Bacterial small subunit ribosomal RNA", at positions 501 to 1008 of the family's 1533-position model. The record is from RNAcentral.